UCCCAGACUCCUACGGGAGGCAGCAGUGGGGAAUAUUGCACAAUGGGGGAAACCCUGAUGCAGCGACGCCGCGUGAGUGAAGAAGUAUUUCGGUAUGUAAAGCUCUAUCAGCAGGAACGAGACAAGACGGUACCUGACUAAGAAGCCCCGGCUAACUACGUGCCAGCAGCCGCGGUAAUACGUAGGGGGCAAGCGUUAUCCGGAAUCACUGGGUGUAAAGGGAGCGUAGACGGCUGAGCAAGCCUGAAGUGAAAGGCGGGGGCCCAACCCCCGGACUGCUUUGGGGACUGUACGGCUGGAGUGCAGGAGAGGUAAGUGGAAUUCCUAGUGUAGCGGUGAAAUGCGUAGAUAUCAGGAGGAACACCGGUGGCGAAGGCGGCCUGCUGGACUGCAACUGACGUUGAGGCCCGAAAGCGUGGGGAGCAAACAGGAUUAGAUACCCCCGUAA
This 448-nucleotide ribosomal RNA is filed under the name uncultured bacterium. Its description in RNAcentral is "partial 16S ribosomal RNA". It matches the Rfam family "Bacterial small subunit ribosomal RNA", at positions 329 to 793 of the family's 1533-position model. The record is from RNAcentral.